Sinocyclocheilus rhinocerous is the source of this 379-nucleotide long non-coding RNA. RefSeq lists it as uncharacterized. The transcript is spliced from 3 exons. Lineage: Eukaryota; Metazoa; Chordata; Actinopteri; Cypriniformes; Cyprinidae. The record is from RefSeq and is a predicted model, not a curated record.
AUGUCAGUCUACCUGUGUGCGAGGCUAAUGAGCACAUGUACUACUCUGUUCUCCCCGUGAAUGACUCUGUGUGCCAGAGAGGGAGAAGCUGUCGCCUGUUGAUCCACUGAUUAUUUCUCCUUGUUACAGAUUGAGUAAAAGAAAGUGCUGAAUCUCAUCAACGAGUGGUCGUGUGGUCUUUAUGUGUGUGAGGGUGGCCGGUCCAAACAUGCUACAAAUGCUCUUUAGGCAAAUCAUCAAAAACAACUUCACUUGUGACAAAAAAAGACAACAAUUAAUGACAGAAUGACACAAACACAAAUUUCCGUUAUGUUUUAUUUAGUUUUUAGCAGAGCCGUUGGCUCUGGUUUUUAGUAAACACAAAGGUGAUGUUGACAAU